AACGUAGGGGGCGAGCGUUGCCCGGAUUCACUGGGCGUAAAGCGGGUGUAGGCGGUUCUCUAAGUCGGAUGUGAAAUCCUGCGGCCUAACCGCGGAACUGCAUCCGAUACUGGGGGACUUGAGGACGGUAGAGGCCGGUGGAAUUCCCGGUGUACCGGUGAAAUGGACAGAUAUCGGGAGGAACACCAGUGGCGAAGGCGGCCGGCUGGGCCGAUCCUGACGCUGAGACCCGAAAGCCAGGGUAGCGAACCGG
Molecule: ribosomal RNA, 253 nt
Filed under: uncultured bacterium
Lineage: Bacteria
Description: partial 16S ribosomal RNA
Rfam family: Bacterial small subunit ribosomal RNA
Source: RNAcentral